UAGGGAAUCUUCGGCAAUGGACGAAAGUCUGACCGAGCAACGCCGCGGGAGUGAAGAAGGUUUUCGGAUCGUAAAACUCUGUUGUUAGAGAAGAACAAGGACGUUAGUAACGGUACGUCCCCUGACGGUAUCUAACCAGAAAGCCACGGCUAACUACGUGCCAGCAGCCGCGGUAAUACGUAGGUGGCAAGCGUUGUCCGGAUUUAUUGGGCGUAAAGCGAGCGCAGGCGGUUUCUUAAGUCUGAUGUGAAAGCCCCCGGCUCAACCGGGGAGGGUCAUUGGAAACUGGGAGACUUGAGUGCAGAAGAGGAGAGUGGAAUUCCAUGUGUAGCGGUGAAAUGCGUAGAUAUAUGGAGGAACACCAGUGGCGAAGGCGGCUCUCUGGUCUGUAACUGACGCUGAGGCUCGAAAGCGUGGGGAGCCAACAGG
RNAcentral lists this ribosomal RNA (429 nucleotides) under Gemmatimonadota bacterium. Its description in RNAcentral is "Gemmatimonadetes bacterium partial 16S ribosomal RNA". It matches the Rfam family "Bacterial small subunit ribosomal RNA", at positions 355 to 776 of the family's 1533-position model. The record is from RNAcentral. Lineage: Bacteria; Pseudomonadati; Gemmatimonadota.